This 825-nucleotide ribosomal RNA is filed under the name Triticum aestivum (bread wheat). Its description in RNAcentral is "partial small subunit ribosomal RNA". Lineage: Eukaryota; Viridiplantae; Streptophyta; Magnoliopsida; Poales; Poaceae. The record is from RNAcentral.
AUGGCCGACCCAGGAGUCUCACAGCCGGCGCUGCUCGACGCGGCGUCCCUCUUCCCCGUGCCCGACAGCGCGACCUUCUCCUACGAGACGGUGGGGUUCCGAGCCGACAGGAGCACCAUACCCCCGCGAAUUGUUUCCAUACCAAGGUCCAUGUUAUUGUUUGAAUUUCAGUUUUGUUCUGGCGGAGCAGCGGGUGGGGGAGCGAAAUCAGACGAUGGCCAGCAAGUCCAGGUAGGUUUCGACCGUGGUCGCCCUCGAGUUCCCAAAAUGCCUGACUCUAACGGCAACGGCAUGCACCACAAGGAGGAUGAUGGCCUCUUCACCGACUCCGGCCCCGUCCUCCCCGACUCCUGGUCGUGGCCCUGAGUUCCCAAAAUGCCUGACUCUAACGGCAACGGCAUGCACCACAAGGAGGAUGAUGGCCUCUUCACCGACUCCGGCCCCGUCCUCCCCGACUCCUGAUCCGCCCCUGCUGCCAUGGCCGACCCAGGAGUCUCACAGUCGGCGCUGCUCGACGCGGCGUCCCUCUUCCCCGUGCCCGACAGUGCGACCUUCUCCUACGAGACGGUGGGGUUCCGAGCCGACAGGAGCACCAUACCCCCGCGGUGUGCCACCACCUCAUCUCCGGCGGAGCAGCGGGUGGGGGAGCGAAAUCAGACGAUGGCCAGCAAGUCCAGGCAGGUUUCGACCGUGGUCGCCCUCGUACGAGUUCCCAAAAUGCCUGACUCUAACGGCAACGGCAUGCACCACAAGGAGGAUGAUGGCCUCUUCACCGACUCCGGCCCCGUCCUCCCCGACUCCUGGUCGUGGCCCUGUGCACGAUAG